CCCCGGCGCCUGUUUCCGGGGCUGCGACGCACCCGGGCGUGACCCCGCCGAGGCAACAGUUUGGUAACGUUCACAUUGGUUUGGAGUUGUAAACUCGGUAAUGAUCCUUUCCCUCGGGGACCGCGGAGGGAUCAUUGAACGGAGUUUUCAACUCCCAAACCCAAUGUGAACGUUACCAAACUGUUGCCUUGGCGGGGUCACGCCCCGGGUGCGUCGCAGCCCCGGAACCAGGCGCCCGCCGGAGGAACCAACCAAACUCUUUCUGUAGUCCCCUCGCGGACGUAUUUCUUACAGCUCUGAGCAAAAAUUCAAAAUGAAUCAAAACUUUCAACAACGGAUCUCUUGGUUCUGGCAUCGAUGAAGAACGCAGCGAAAUGCGAUAAGUAAUGUGAAUUGCAGAAUUCAGUGAAUCAUCGAAUCUUUGAACGCACAUUGCGCCCGCCAGUAUUCUGGCGGGCAUGCCUGUCCGAGCGUCAUUUCAACCCUCGAACCCCUCCGGGGGAUCGGCGUUGGGGAUCGGGACCCCUCACACGGGUGCCGGCCCCGAAAUACAGUGGCGGUCUCGCCGCAGCCUCUCCUGCGCAGUAGUUUGCACAACUCGCACCGGGAGCGCGGCGCGUCCACGUCCGUAAAACACCCAACUUUCUGAAAUGUUGACCUCGGAUCAGGUGGGAAUUCCCGCUGAACUUAAGCAUAUCAUAGACGGGAGGGAAAAUUCAUUACCGAGUUUACAACCUCCAAACCCAAUGUGAACGUUUACAAACUGUUGCCUCGGCGGGGGUCAGCCCGGGUGCGUGCACCCCGAACCAGGCGCCCGCCGGAGGAACAACCAAAACUCUUUUCUGGUUGUCCCUCGCGACGUAUUUUCUACAGGCUCUGAGCAAAAAUUCAAAAGAAAUCAAACUUCACACGGAUCUCUGGAUUCUGGCAUCAAUCACAGCAGCAAAUGCAUUAGUAUGUGAAUGCAGAUCAAUUGAAUCAGCGAAUCUUUUAAGCCAUUUUGACCUCAU
RNAcentral lists this ribosomal RNA (1010 nucleotides) under Trichoderma viride. RNAcentral's name for it is "eukaryotic LSU rRNA". The stretch from base 323 to 476 matches the Rfam family "5.8S ribosomal RNA". The record is from RNAcentral. Lineage: Eukaryota; Fungi; Ascomycota; Sordariomycetes; Hypocreales; Hypocreaceae.